UGUGCCACUGAGGCCCACACCUCAAUUCCCUUCCUCUGUUGCCUCUUUUAUCGGUCUCAUUCUGCUCUCUCAGUUAAACUCCCUCACUUCUCUCUCAUUUUUUCCCCUCAUUUUAUCUCUCUGUCACUUUUCCCCAAGCCAUACAACUAUGAACCACUACCUUCUCCGAGGACUUUAAACACCAAACCACCACCAUCAUCGUCUCCAAACACGGGACUAGUGCCCAAACCUUGACUCGAACCUCAAAUCAGAGAACCACACAUCUUAAACCUGAGAGAAUUCCGGCGAGUUCAUCGCCUUCCCGACCAAGGUUUUCCGAGCUUUUCCUGCCCAAAUCUCGUUGAAGACGAUGAUAUUGACACCAUAAAUAAACUCCUCACAGUCCUAAAGACCAGAUUCGAGCUUUGUUGGUCGAAUCUGUCAUGGAUUCGUAGAGACCCGAAUUGGCCAUGACUAUCAAGCCAUUUUCCAAUCACCUUCGGCCAUCCCUUGGCCUUGAUUUAGGUAUUGAUUCAUAACCUUCGAAUUUGGGUUUCAUUUCAUAACCUUGGCAGAAAAAGGUCCAGAUUCCACAUAGACCGUCUGAUUAAUUUGAUUAUGAAAUAGCAAAGAUGGGUUCUAUUCUUAUGUAUUAAGAUUAUCUUGUUUUACAUUACUAUAAUCAUUAAAUUAUUGAGUUUACUGAUGUUGUGUCAGAGGAUAGGGAAAAACUAUUUGAAGGAAUACUUAAAUAGAAAUGGAGGAUCUUCUUCAUUAAUUCGUUUAUGAAGCAGCAGAGAGUCGAUGAGGUGCAAGGCUUGUUGGGGAAGAUGCAUCUGUCCAAAAAUGUUUGCUUUCAGGUUCUUUUUGCAUUAGAGAUGAGAUAUGUAACAUUACAAUAUAUGUUUGUGAGAUUGAGAAUGUA
Long non-coding RNA from Pyrus x bretschneideri (Chinese white pear), 904 nucleotides. RefSeq lists it as uncharacterized. NCBI's taxonomy places the organism in Eukaryota, Viridiplantae, Streptophyta, Magnoliopsida, Rosales, Rosaceae. The record is from RefSeq and is a predicted model, not a curated record. The transcript is spliced from 3 exons.